UAUGUACAAGUUUCGCAUAAUUAUCUAGCACAUAAUGCCUUAAGUUGACCGAAUCAUUAACUAGAUGCAACACAACUUAAGCGUUGGUAAAUAUGUAAAUAUCAAGUAAACUAGAAAAUAUGAUAUCUAUAUACGGUUUAACUAUACUUGCAUUUUGUACAUCCAAGAAGGGAAGUUACGAAGCGAGAAGCUUGACGGGAAUUUGUCUUUUUCUUCUUUGGGUAUCGUCUUUCGAAAGCAACUCUGUAUGAUAGUACCUCGCAAGACAAAAUAAGGGAAAUUAUUAGGAAAACAUAAAGUAAACAAUAAACUAAUUUAUUUUGUAAUGAUUUUAUUUGAAAAUGUUUUUGGAAGAUUGUUUUUGAUAAUAGUUUGAAAAUGUUUUUGGGAAAUUAUUUUUUUGGAAAAUAAUUUUGGGAAAUAGUUUAAAAAUAAUAUAUGAGGCUCAAAUUAUGAUUUCAAUUUCCAUCUAGACAUGAGAACGGGAACCUCCUUGGUUGCGACUACGAUAGCUAAUCGUGUCGCCUUCCGAAGGGCUAUUGGUUCAUCACAUUCUCAUCUUUUCCCUUUCCGAUGUUUAUCGUCAUCGCCUCGUACUUUCGGGCCCAAUCCGAGGGUGAUUAUUCUCAAAAUAUUAUUCUCAUCGACCUUGUCAAGUGUAGUAUCGUUCAAAGCAUCAGCCAUCCCAAACAGUCAAACAAACCAGCAAAGUGGCAUUUGUAACACUGUCCAAACGCCACUGUCCAAACCAAUAUUGUGAAUUAACCAAACUACCGAGAACAUAAAAUAGGUCCAAACGAUGAAAUCCAAUUCCCACGCCACAAAGAGCAGCCAGAACUUCAAAAUGUCAGCCAACAAAGCAAUGUAAAAUAACAUCCAAAACAUAGAAAUAAGGAAAUGAACAGUCGAUACAAAGCCAAAUAAAUAGCAGAACGGACGAAGGCCAACAGAAACAACCAAAACUCCCAGUAGCCAAAAAAUAUGGGCCUGCCGAAAAAUACUCCGGCCAGAUCUCACUAAGUCACAAACAAAGAUUCUCGACCAGAUUUAUAGAUCUGGCUUUAUUAACACUGAGCACGUAACACAUAAAAGGGGGAUAAAGUCGUCGAAAAACAUAAGGCACAAAAAAUGGCUAAACAGUCCACACCCCAUAAAAGAAACAAGAUUCCCACCAUAUCAAAUGGCAACAGCAAAAUCGUUGGCGUUACUUUGACGGCGAACACCGAAAUAACACCUAACCCCAAAAAUACGCUGCCGACAUCAACAUUUUCGGCCAAAACCAAUAGAUCUUGUCAAGGUUUGGAAGAAGAAGGUAGAAACGAGAAUGAAGAGAGAACCAAUGGGGAGGUGGUCAUUGGUCGCCGAAGCUUUGGAUUUUCUGACCAGAUCUGCACUUUCUCCGUUGCUCGCCGUUCAUGGCUGUUGGACAGAAGGGUGGCCAGUGUUAUGAUUUCUGGCCAGAUUUGUGUUCUUUCGCCGCAACAGUAAGAGAGAAAGGGAGAGACAGUGGUGGAGGUGGCCAUGCUUGGCCCAAAAUGGAGCUAAGGGAGAGAGGCCGCCUCCUAUAUCAUGAGAGAGAGAGACGAGAGAAGACCCCUUUGGAGGAAGUGCGGUUGUGAGUUGAGAAAUGAGGGGGAGG
Molecule: long non-coding RNA, 1639 nt
Filed under: Nicotiana tabacum (common tobacco)
Lineage: Eukaryota; Viridiplantae; Streptophyta; Magnoliopsida; Solanales; Solanaceae
Description: long non-coding RNA (NTAB_LNC006968)
Source: RNAcentral